RNAcentral lists this signal recognition particle RNA (98 nucleotides) under Magnetovibrio sp. Its description in RNAcentral is "signal recognition particle sRNA small type". It matches the Rfam family "Bacterial small signal recognition particle RNA". From Rfam's summary of the family: The signal recognition particle (SRP) is a universally conserved ribonucleoprotein involved in the co-translational targeting of proteins to membranes. Archaeal SRP consists of a 7S RNA and homologues of the eukaryotic SRP19 and SRP54 proteins. The record is from RNAcentral. Lineage: Bacteria; Pseudomonadati; Pseudomonadota; Alphaproteobacteria; Rhodospirillales; Magnetovibrionaceae.
GGUGGGGUUGGUGUUGGGCAAACGACUCGCCAAACCGGUCAGGUCUGGAAAGAAGCAGCCGUAACGAGUUCGCUUGGGUCAGCAUCAGCCUCCUCCUA